Long non-coding RNA from Xenopus laevis (African clawed frog), 567 nucleotides. RefSeq lists it as uncharacterized. The transcript is spliced from 2 exons. Lineage: Eukaryota; Metazoa; Chordata; Amphibia; Anura; Pipidae. The record is from RefSeq and is a predicted model, not a curated record.
GGAAUCCAAUGACGCAUCCUCACACAGAAAGCCAGUUGCCAAGUAUUCCUCCGCGCUUUUAAAAACUCUCAUUGGGCUACACAUUUCAUUGAAAAUGUAGUCCCAAGCCGUGUUAUAUCUACAAUAGGUGUAUACGUAAGGGAAAAGGCCUCUUGCUUUUCCGCGACCGAGCUAAUAAUAAAGUCUGCAGUCGGUUACCGCAAUAGAAUUUGGGAUGUAAGGGAUCGGGAAAUAGUCCCAGGACGCGGAGGAAUCUGUCGUCUGUAAAAGGGUUCUAACGAAGAUGUGAGGAUAUUACCCAACUGUGAAAAUUAUAUUCUUAUGGACAUCAAGGAGUUUUUACAUUUUACGUUCAUUUUUGUUGUUGGCAUAUAAAUUAAUUUCCAUAAAAUAUGGAAUUAUAAUCAAUCAUUUUAAGGAAUGUUCUAUGUGGGUGGGAACAAGAUGUCUGUGUGGUAAAUAUUCCAUUUUUUUAAGGUUAUAAUGACAACAAAUGAUGUAGGCUCAUGCCGAAUAUGUGGAAAUGAUAUAAUUUUGUAUAUUAGAAUUAAAUCAUAUAUUUAGAGA